GAUGAACGCUGGCGGCGUGCUUAACACAUGCAAGUCGAGCGAAGCACUUUGGAAAGAUUCUUCGGAUGAUUUGCUUUGUGACUGAGCGGCGGACGGGUGAGUAACGCGUGGGUAACCUGCCUCAUACAGGGGGAGAACAGAUAGAAAUGACUGCUAAUACCGCAUAAGACCACGGUACCGCAUGGUACAGUGGUAAAAACUCCGGUGGUAUGAGAUGGACCCGCGUCUGAUUAGGGAGUUGGUGGGGUAACGGCAUACCAAGGCGACGAUCAGUAGCCGAGAGGGGAGGGUGACCGGCCACAUUGGGGCUGAGACACGGCCCAGACUCCUACGGGAGGCAGCAGUGGGGAAUAUUGCACAAUGGAGGAAGCUCUGAUGCAGCGACGCCGCGUGAAGGAUGAAGUAUUUCGGUAUGUAAACUUCUAUCAGCAGGGAAGAAAAUGACGGUACCUGACUAAGAAGCCCCGGCUAACUACGUG
This 479-nucleotide ribosomal RNA is filed under the name uncultured bacterium. Its description in RNAcentral is "partial 16S ribosomal RNA". It matches the Rfam family "Bacterial small subunit ribosomal RNA", at positions 28 to 507 of the family's 1533-position model. The record is from RNAcentral.